AGUGAAUGGGACUCGGCCGGUUCCUCUACAGCCAGCAUGUGAACAUGUGACACAUCUCAAAACUGCUUACACAAACACUGAUGUGACAUAGCAUGAAAUCCUGCUGUACUGUGUGUGCCCUGAUCUGCUGUGAGGGCAGCAACUGCUAGCUAACUAACAGAAGAUCAUCAAGAUUCAAGAUCCAAGAUGUUUAUCGUCACUCUGGUUAUAAAAGUACCAUCGUAGGAGAUUCUUGUGCUAGGAGGCUCCUUUGACAAAGGGUUUCCCGCUCAGUUCACUUUGUCGGUUGGAGACACAGAGAAGAGUUAUGAAAAUGUUCCUCCUCUGCAGUUCUACACAAAAAUAUGCUGGUUCCAGUAAAAUACAAACAACUACAGAAGUAUGUGAAGUUGGAGGAGGUUGACUACAUGCAAUUUCAUGAAAAAGUCAUGCUGCAGUCUGGAGGAGCAUCUCCGCAGCCAGCAGAGUCUGUAUCCAUACCUCCUCCCUGUUGGACUUCAGAAGAGCAAGAUUGACAGCUUCUACAUCACCAUGGAUAAUCAUCUCAUCCCAUGUUGGGCAAACUGCUUCCUCUGGGCAUUUGAUGAACUUUUUUAAAGCACAUUUUGUGUUUAACAUGUCUUAUGAUGCAGCAUUGGUGAAUUUUUACACAUUCUUGAAAAAAAUGUGGUAGUUGUAUAUUGUACCUUCAUUUACAAUGUAUUGAUUUACAGAGAAAAUAAAAUGUCACUGUUUGAAAAUUACUUUUUUUUUCCUUUUUUUUUUAAAUCAUUCUUUAAAUAAUUUUAACACUUUGUAGUGUAAAUACCUGACACUUAAUGGAGUGAAACUAACACUAGCCAGGUAGUAAAAAAAAAGUGUCAUAGCAGAGUUACUUGUCUAAUCCCUAAGUGUUAUUUAUUUACAUUCUGUUUAGCGAGUU
Non-coding RNA from Labrus bergylta (ballan wrasse), 922 nucleotides. The record is from RefSeq and is a predicted model, not a curated record. Lineage: Eukaryota; Metazoa; Chordata; Actinopteri; Labriformes; Labridae.